UACAGAGGGUGCGAGCGUUGUUCGGAAUUAUUGGGCGUAAAGCGCAUGUAGGCGGUCUGUUAAGUCGCGUGUGAAAUCCCCAGGCUCAACCUGGGAAGUGCGCGCGAAACUGGCGGACUUGAGUGCCGGAGAGGGUGGCGGAAUUCCCGGUGUAGAGGUGAAAUUCGUAGAUAUCGGGGGGAACACCAGAGGCGAAGGCGGCCACCUGGACGAACACUGACGCUGAGACGCGAAAGCGUGGGGAGCAAACAGG
Molecule: ribosomal RNA, 253 nt
Filed under: uncultured bacterium
Lineage: Bacteria
Description: partial 16S ribosomal RNA
Rfam family: Bacterial small subunit ribosomal RNA
Source: RNAcentral